Small nuclear RNA from Hydractinia symbiolongicarpus, 195 nucleotides. RefSeq annotates it as U2 spliceosomal RNA. The transcript has a single exon. Lineage: Eukaryota; Metazoa; Cnidaria; Hydrozoa; Anthoathecata; Hydractiniidae. The record is from RefSeq and is a predicted model, not a curated record.
UUACCCUUGCCAAUAAAAAUAAUAAAAAAAAAGAUCAAGUGUAGUAUCUGUUCUUAUCAGUUUAAUAUCUGGUAGGCCAUUCCCUGAAUGGUCAGUAUAUUAAUCUGAUUUUUGGCCUUGAGUCAUGGAGGUGGAUUCAUUCACGCCGUGACCAAAAAUGUUCAAUUACUUCUACAAUGGUUAUUUUUAUUAUUC